GUUGACCUCGGAUCAGUGUCUGUCAGUGUGUG
Molecule: ribosomal RNA, 32 nt
Filed under: fungal sp. 4.34.4B
Lineage: Eukaryota; Fungi
Description: partial 28S ribosomal RNA
Source: RNAcentral